GACGAACGCUGGCGGCGUGCUUAACACAUGCAAGUCGAACGGAAAGGCCCCCUUGUGGGGUACUCGAGUGGCGAACGGGUGAGUAACACGUGAGUAACCUACCCUUGACUUUGGGAUAACUUCAGGAAACUGGGGCUAAUACCGGAUAGGAGCUCCUGCUGCAUGGUGGGGGUUGGAAAGUUUCGGCGGUUGGGGAUGGACUCGCGGCUUAUCAGCUUGUUGGUGGGGUAGUGGCUCACCAAGGCUUUGACGGGUAGCCGGCCUGAGAGGGUGACCGGCCACAUUGGGACUGAGAUACGGCCCAGACUCCUACGGGAGGCAGCAGUGGGGAAUAUUGCACAAUGGGCGGAAGCCUGAUGCAGCAACGCCGCGUGCGGGAUGACGGCCUUCGGGUUGUAAACCGCUUCCGCCUGUGACGAAGCGUGAGUGACGGUAAUGGGUAAAGAAGCACCGGCUAACUACGUG
Molecule: ribosomal RNA, 465 nt
Filed under: uncultured bacterium
Lineage: Bacteria
Description: partial 16S ribosomal RNA
Rfam family: Bacterial small subunit ribosomal RNA
Source: RNAcentral